RNAcentral lists this ribosomal RNA (275 nucleotides) under uncultured prokaryote. Its description in RNAcentral is "partial 16S ribosomal RNA". It matches the Rfam family "Bacterial small subunit ribosomal RNA", at positions 524 to 798 of the family's 1533-position model. The record is from RNAcentral.
UACGGAGGAUCCGAGCGUUAUCCGGAUUUAUUGGGUUUAAAGGGUGCGCAGGCGGGGGAUUAAGUCGGCGGUGAAAUUUUGCAGCUCAACUGUAAAAGUGCCUUCGAAACUGGUUUCCUUGAGUGUAGAUGAAGUAGGCGGAAUUUGUGGUGUAGCGGUGAAAUGCUUAGAUAUCACGAGGAACUCCGAUUGCGCAGGCAGCUUACUAAACCACUACUGACGCUCAUGCACGAAGGCGUGGGGAUCAAACAGGAUUAGAUACCCGCGUAGUCCCU